Brassica napus (rape) is the source of this 2543-nucleotide long non-coding RNA. RefSeq lists it as uncharacterized. The record is from RefSeq and is a predicted model, not a curated record. Lineage: Eukaryota; Viridiplantae; Streptophyta; Magnoliopsida; Brassicales; Brassicaceae. The transcript is spliced from 5 exons.
CUAGUUUGGGAACAAAAACUUUAUUUAGUACUAUUUUGGUCUUUUUCUCUUAUAAAUAUAAGAAAUAGAUUUGUAUUUUAUGUCUGUGUAAAUUUUAAUGAAUUCAAUUUGAAUCAUCAACAAACUAAUUUGUGUACCCAAAAGGCCAAAAUAUUUCAGAGUUUCUAUAGAAGGUAAUAUUGUUUACAUUUUUUUUCUCUAGUUUAUAUAUUCUGUAAAAGAUCUAAUAAAUGAGAUCUGAAGCUUUAGCGAUCCGUGCGGCACUCCAAUCGGCAAUCCUUCUUGAUAUAACCAGGAUCAAUAUUAACUUCGACAACCAAACACUCAUCAGAGUCAUCAAUAGCGAGAUAAAAGACAAUGAAAUCUGCAGUGUUGCUCAGGACAUCAAGAUUAUCUCUGCUCUCUUCGUUUCUAUCUCUUUCAAUUUCGUUCUUAGGGCGGAAAACGCUAGAGCUGAUUCUCUAGCAAAAGCUUCCGUUAGGGCUUUUUGUCUUAUUUAUAAUGGGUCUGUUUUGGGUUAAAACUCUACUUUUGAAUUAAAAUUCCGACCGUUGACAAAAAAAAAGAUCUAUUUCAGACUUUUUAAUCUAUCUAGUGUUGUUGUAUAUCUGUGUGAAGGAUGUCUGAAAUCAUGUGAUUUUUGAUGUCACAAGAAACAACGUUUAUCUUUUGCAACUAUUGCUGUAAAAAAUGUUUGUGCUACUGUCUGGAACAUCUAAUAACAUAAAGUACAACUCAAUUCUCUUCUCCUUGCGCCAGCACAUAAAAUUAGGUAAGAAGGUGUUGAGUGUUGACACCUGUCCCAUUUACAAAACGCCGCGCAUAACUUAUUAACCGUGUCAUUGUUUUCUUUGUUGGGCCGUCGAAUUGAUUUAUAGGUUUGCUUUUCGUUAUUUGUAUAGCCCAUCUCAGAAUUAUAGGAUUAUGCGUCUUCUUCUCGAGUGCCGACUACGACGAUGGAGUUUCGUGAGGUUGUAUGAUACGAAUAUUCGUUGAGGAGUCUUUGGGUUGGGAUUCAUUUGCGUCGUUUCAUUUCAUAUUCUUCCCCUACGAAACGUUAUAGGACUAAUCGCAUUCAUAUCGACGAUCCUUCAUGUGUUAAGCGAAUUGAGAAUUCUGAUUAACGAAAUUAGACUGUUUCUGUGGAAUCAAUAGUCGAGUGAGGAUUUUCGGGAAUGGGUGCGACGGAGGUUGUUACAGACAAAGAAUUUGAAGGCUGAAACGGGACUAUAGAAUAGACUUUCACUUUCUAAGACUCGCUUGACAAUUUUACUAAUUAAAUCUCCCCUAUGAUUUUUGCAGGAAUGGUGUUUGUGCCACCACUAGAGUCUUUGCAGAACCAAAUUCAUGUUUUAUUCAUAUUGUUUCUGUUUUGUGUCUUUCAAAAAAAUUAGGUUCACCCAUUACUAAAACACAAUAUGUUUUCACUUUGCAUAUUUCCUUAAGAUUUUGCAGGAGAGGUAUCUUUUCCAAGUAAAGGAAAGACACAAUACUAUCUCCAUCUAAACGUUUGCUUUGUUUUUUUAUAGGCCACUGACCAUGUUAUAAUUAUUUUGGUCCUCAUGAUUUGUGACUUACCAAUUAGGCUUACCCAUUAUGAGAGCAAAGUGUUUGCUUUUUACAUAUCUGUAAAAGAUUUUGCUGGAAAGGCAUCUUAAAGAAAAGACUAGAGACCAUGUUAACAUUUAAACGUUUGCUUUGUUCUUUAAGGUCAGCCCAUGUUAUAUUUACUUCAGUUUCGUGCUUAAAAAAUCUGCAAAGGGUUGACGAUGAUGGUUUACGUCUCUGUCAGUCCCCAGAACACUUAGCUUUAUAUAGCUACACGGAUGUUGGUGAUGGCCUUGAGUUCCACCACUUCGACCAUUGCUCCCUGGACAUCCUUGAAGAGUGCAGUUACUUGACUAAUACGUAAGUAAAAUUUAUAUUGGUCAUAACUGAUUUGUAUGUCAAAGACACCAAAUUGAUAAAUAAGCCUAGGUUCUUAAGGCUCUAUCUAAGAACUUGCACUGUUCUCAAGCAUACGGUUUGGUUGCUGAGGUUAACUACAAGACCAUCUCGAAUCAAGCAGGAAUCAGCAUAAAUUCUGUUAAAAGCAAAGGAAGAACUGUUGAAGAAACAAGGGAAAGAUUAAAAACAAAAAACUAAAGCCGUGAAGAUGAUGACGGAAAUGGAAUUUGAAUCAAAUGACAAUCAUUGUGACAUCGGAUAAGUUGUUGGCGUGAGCCAUUCCUACAACCAAAGCGACUAAUUCCUAUAACCCCCAAAGAAUAUGAAAAUUACCCCGGUGAAGCAUUGAAGCUAGCUCUGCUUCAAUCAGGUGCUGCGUCGACAGCCUUUCCCUCUGUUGUUAAUCAUGGACAUACAUAGAAUAUGGUAGAAGCAGUUUAAUUUGCUGGAUUGCCGUUGAAGAGAGUAGAAGUUUGUAUGGGGGAAUGUUGAGGUCCAAAACGUUUAGUCUUGAAAGGAGACUAACGAUGUGAUGGUCCAUUGUUCCAUAUCUAGAACUUAAAAAAAAACUAUAAUUUAUAGCUACACAAUGCAUA